RNAcentral lists this ribosomal RNA (253 nucleotides) under uncultured bacterium. RNAcentral describes it as "partial 16S ribosomal RNA". It matches the Rfam family "Bacterial small subunit ribosomal RNA", at positions 524 to 776 of the family's 1533-position model. The record is from RNAcentral.
UACAGAGACUGCAAGCGUUAUUCGGAUUCACUGGGCGUAAAGGGUGCGCAGGCGGCCAAGUGUGUGAGGCGUGAAAGCCCAGGGCUUAACCCUGGAAUUGCACCUCAAACUACAUGGCUAGAGCAUUGGAGAGGGAAGCGGAAUUCACGGUGUAGCAGUGAAAUGCGUAGAUAUCGUGAGGAACACCAGAGGCGAAGGCGGCUUCCUGGACAAUUGCUGACGCUCAGGCACGAAAGCGUGGGGAGCAAAAGGG